Long non-coding RNA from Biomphalaria glabrata, 694 nucleotides. RefSeq lists it as uncharacterized. The record is from RefSeq and is a predicted model, not a curated record. Lineage: Eukaryota; Metazoa; Mollusca; Gastropoda; Planorbidae. The transcript is spliced from 2 exons.
UAUAGAUAAUAGAUCGUAGUCUGGCUCUAGAUCUAGAGCAGAUGAUGAAAUACUAAUAGAAAUAUGGUUUGCAUUUGAUUUGUCACAGACCUAUAGUGUCCUAAAAUAGCCUAUAUGCUAUAGAUUCAAGAUAUGGACAAUAUGGUAUAGUUACUAGAUCUAUAUUAAAACCGUAUAGAUCUAGUAAAUAAAGAUCUAGAUCAGUGAUUUGAUGUAGAGUCCAGGUCUGUGAUUUGGACCCGUACUCUCUCUCUCUCUCUCUCUCUUCUUAUAUAGGUCUGUGAUUUUAGAAUUACAACAGUAAAAACUCUCCACAUUAACAAGUACAUACUAAAGAUAAACUUAAAAUAACAUGGCUGGAGAUAAUGCAUUGAAGGAUAGUCCCAGAGAACAGUCAAUGUCAGACAAACAUUUUCUUUCAAAGGCUGAAAAUCUCAACAUAAAAAAAGGAAAGAAAAUUAUGGCUUUAAAGGGCAAAAAUAAGCUUGUGGGCUUAGUCUUAGCUAGUAGUGUUGUUGGAAUUUAUGCCUACACAAUGCUAUCAGUGCGGCAAGGCAAGAUGAUGGAAGCAUUUGACAAAGUACCAGAGUGACACUGCUGACUUAUCAUAGGAUGCUCUUGUAUCAGCAGAGACUUCAUGCUUGACCUCUUCAUGUUUAAAUAGCAAAUAUUGUUAGUUUGAUUUUUUUUUUUU